CAGCACCUCAAGUGGUCAGGAUGAUUAUUGGGCCUAAAGCAUCCGUAGCCGGCGCUGUAAGUUUUCGGUUAAAUCUGUACGCUCAACGUACAGGCUGCCGGGAAUACUGCAGCGCUAGGGAGUGGGAGAGGUAGACGGUACUCGGUAAGAAGGGGUAAAAUCCUUUGAUCUAUUGAUGACCACCUGUGGCGAAGGCGGUCUACCAGAACACGUCCGACGGUGAGGGAUGAAAGCUGGGGGAGCAAACCGGAUUAGAUACCCGAGUAGUCC
Molecule: ribosomal RNA, 270 nt
Filed under: uncultured archaeon
Lineage: Archaea
Description: partial 16S ribosomal RNA
Rfam family: Archaeal small subunit ribosomal RNA
Source: RNAcentral